RNAcentral lists this long non-coding RNA (7876 nucleotides) under Gossypium raimondii (Peruvian cotton). RNAcentral describes it as "long non-coding RNA (GRAI_LNC009689)". The record is from RNAcentral. Lineage: Eukaryota; Viridiplantae; Streptophyta; Magnoliopsida; Malvales; Malvaceae.
AGCACCAUAAACAGAGGGGCGAUCAUUCUUAAAAAAGGGCAAGUGAAUGUUUUGUUUUACUAUAUAAUUUUGAUAUUUUUCAUUUGAAAGUUGAGAGAAAUAACGUUGGAAGGUGUUACCAUCACAGCGACUAAGCAGUAGAUUAAGGUUGUUGUUUUCAAGGUUGUUGUGAUAAUUAUUGGAAAUGAAAUGAGGAGUUUGAAAAGAAGAACACCAAUACUUACAAACACAGUUGAAGCGAGUAAGGGAUUUAACUGGCAGCUUUGACAGAAUUUCCAUAACCAAAGCUUCUGGCAAUUCAAACCUUGGCCUCUGCAUCUUGCUAUUUUGAUUUUCUUUGUAAUUGGGUAAGAGGAAUGAAUAAAAUGGGAGUUGGUAGGUGUCAUCUAUGGUCCAAACCUUAACCAGGAAGCAAAGAAGCAUAAAAGGUAAGCAUUUGAUAGGUUAUAAUAAUUAUAUGGAAUUUAGGAAAAUUUACUUAUUUGCAUUUGUAUCCAUGUGAGGAAGGAUUAAGAUCAAAUAUAAUAUAAUACGUACUUUUUGAAUUUAAUCCCCAAUUUUUAAAAGAAUAAAUUUAAAGGAUAUCACAUUUAUUUACUUUUUGUAUAUUUGAAAUUUAAUACUUAAUUUUUAUUUUAAAGAAUUCAAUCUCUCUAUUUUUUAAAAGCCAAAAACAGUGAUGUAGUUUUUUUUUUCACACGGCAAUCAAAAAAAAAAAUUUAAAGGUAGUUUUUUUUUCUCGUUUCUGCUCUUUUUCUUUUUUUCGUCUGUUCUAUUUUACUUGCGUUUUUUUUUUUGAGUUUUUUCUUUUCUUCUUUCGACAUACAUAUAUCUACAUUUUUUUAAAAAAAAGAACAGUUUAUAUAUAUACAUACACAAAAAAAUAAAAAUAAAAAAACUCACCUUUGAACUUUCCGGACUCGGCUACGUCGGCCGGUGCGGCGGAGACAAGGCGGCCCUUUGGCCGGAAUCUGGAUUUCAUCCAGAGAAAAGAGACCCCCUUUUCCCUUUUUUUGGUUUCUUUACAGACUGCCGGGAAUGAUUUCUUUUCCUCAAAAGUUGUCUUUUAUAGCCCCCCCCCCAACACCCCAGCAAAACGAUGUCGUUUUGGUUGGCGUACUUGAGCAAGAAACGACGUCGUUUUGGCCUUAGGAUCCGCUUGUGACCCGACCCGCAAAGAGGAUCCGCGUGUCACCAUUUAGGGGGAUAUCUUCACAAUUGGUGCCUCCACUUUUGUCUCGCUUUCAAUGUAGUUUUUUCAUAUAUUUUUAAUUUUGGCUACAUAAUUUUUCGUCUGUUUUAAUUUGGUCCCCAGACCAUGCACACGCGCCUCACUAGAACGAUGCCGUUUGGUCAGUUAGGGAGUAUUUCCGUUUUUGCUCCUCUUCCUUUCACGCGUGUUGUGAUUUAGUCCUUUUUGUGCUUUUUAUUGUUAAUUUCGACCCUAAAACCUUGUUUAUUUUCAAUUUAAUCCUUAAUCUGCUAUUUUAGUUAUUUUUCCUGUUAAAUUAAUUAUUUUAACAUUAUUAAAACUAUUAUAUUGCAUAAUUAUUAUUUAUUAUUAAUAUUAUUAUCCUUAUCUCGUUUGUACCUUUUUAUUCUAAAAUUUUGUUAUAUAUAUAUAUACAUAUCCGCAUAUGCUUUUCUAAUAUAUAUAUGUAUAUUUUUAAGGUUAUUAUAAAUAUACUUUUAUAUUUCAUUUUUUAUACUUAUAUCUAUAUCCACGUAUUUUAAUUUAUAUACAUAUAGAUUUUAUAUAUACUUAUUAUAAUUUUUUUAUUGUCAUAAAUACAUACACAUGUACACAUACUUUUAUAUGUUCUUCUAUAUUCCAUAAUUCUUAUAUACAUCCAUAUACAUAUGUAUAUUUUAAUCUACAUACAUAUAUGUAUAUAUACACAUACGACAUAUAUUUCUAUUUUAUAAUUUUAAAAUAAAUAUAUAUAUAUCUAUAUAUUCUUCUUAUUUUUAUAUACACAUGCAUAUAUUUUAUAUUUCCUUUAUUGUUUCGUUGUUUCGCGUAAUGUCAACCUUUUUAUGCCUAUUUUAUUUUAAAAGCAUUUUAAUUCGACUCUUUUAUUUACUAUUUAUCUUACAUUAAUUAAUUUGUCUCUGUAUUUAUUUUGCUACGUACAAAAUCGUGCUACAUUUUACCCGAUUCAUUAAAAAUGAUGUUUUAAACAAGCAAUAUUCAUAUUUUGAAAUUCGAAAAGUCGUUCCCUAACUUACGGGGUUUCGACUUUCUAAAAAAAAUCCAAAUACCGAACAUUUUUAAGCAUAAAUUUUAAAUAAUCUCAAGAAUUACUAAAAGAUCGUGUUCUAACUUAGGGAAUAUGAUUUUUUUCUAAAACCGAUAUAGUCAAACAUCUUUUAAAAUAAAUUUUUCGGCGUUUAUUUGUGCAUCAAGAAUUUAAGACAUUGUGUCCUAAUUCACGGGACGCGAUUCAUUUUCUCGAUUAACGUAAAAUAUGUCCAUUUGUCAACUUUUUAAUAUUUUAACAAGGGAUCGUAUUUUAAAUCUCUUUAAAGUUUUCAAUUUUUGACGAGACACUAAUUAAUCAACUAAGUACCAAUUUUGGGCGCGGGGGUGCUAAUUAGAGGUGAUCAUGGGUUGGGCAGUCCGGCCCGGCCCGAUGGCCCACCCAAAAUAUGAGAGGGUUUGGGUAAAAAUAUAGGCCCGAAAUAUGGGUUUGGGCAAAAAAUGAGGCCCGUUGGCAAAACUUUUUUGGUCCAGGCCUGGCCCGAAUAUAUAAUAAAUAUAUAUUUUUAUUUUUAAAAUACAUUUUCCAUUUCCCCAUUUCCCCAUUUCCCAUUAGACAUUUAGUAUUUAUAUAAUAAAUAUAUAUUUUUUAUUUUUUAAUUUUAAAGUAUUUUUAAAAUACUUCUUUUAUUUUUUAUUUUUAAGAUACAAUUUUGUUGUUUAUUAAAAAAAGGGUCGGGCUCGGGCUUAGGAUUUUUUCUCGGGCCAGGCUUGGACAAAAUUUCAGGCCCAUAUUUUGGGCUAGGCCGGGCCCAGGCCUAGGACGCGGGCCAAAAAAAAAUUUAGGCCUGGCCCAGCCCAUGAUCACCUUUAGUGCUAAUCCUUCCUUGUACGUAACCGACGCCCGAACUCGUGCUUAUGUGGCACGGCACAUAGGCUACUUUGUUGACCUAUGGUUUGACCGACGAUCAACUCACAUUUUCUGUUAAAAUUGGGCUAAUUUAUUAAAAAAUUGUACCGUUAACGGUGUCAAUCCAAAAAAAAAAAGGUUAAUGGCUCAAACCCAAAAACUCAAAAAAUUGAGUGUUUUUUCGACAAUUAUGCGAAAUUCUUUGUUAAAUUUGUUGGUUUGAUAUUCUUUCAAAAGUACAUUAUAAUGCCUUUUUUUUUAACCCAAACCCAAACUUUUGAAAUCAAAUACUAUUUUGAGAGGGAAAAUAUUUGAUUUUUUUUUUUGUUCAAUUGCUUGAAUCUGGUUGGAUAGUUUCUAUUUUCGUUUUAUUAAAUUUCCUUUUUCUCUGUUUGAAGGCGACUUUAAAGAAAAGAGUAACAUGCGAAGGAAUUGCAUUGGACUUUGCAAAGAUCAUAAAACACACAUUAAAAAUAUGUAUUAUUAGUUCUGUUGGACUUAAAGAUUUUGGGUUGUAACACUAGUAGAAAUUAUAUAAAGAAAGAUAUUGAAUGUUAUGGGAUUGGGUUUGGGUUAUUUUAAAUCUAUAUUCAGAUUAAUGUUAUUUUAAAAUCGAAUAAUUUUGAGUUUAAAUCAUUCAAAGUUGUUGAUCGGAUUUUAUAAAGAUAAAAAAACAUAUUGAAAAUAUGUAAUAUUAAUUGGAUUAUUUUAAACUAUGACAUAAAUACUUGAGUCUCAAAAUAAACACUAGCUCAAUAAAACGCAUAUGAUAAUUUAGAGUACUGUAAUAAAAUACAUAUUGAUAAUUCAGAUAUUACAUUAAACAUUUUUAAACAUACAUGAGACAAUUGUGGUAAAGCUGGCUAUGGUAAUUUUAUGGUAUCGGAUCCAUUACUGCAUAGGCCGUAAAAUAAGUUGGAACAAUUUUGGGGAGUUCCAAAGGUAUGGGAUGGCCCCGGUCUUCCAUAACAAAUAAACAUCUCCCCGAGUAGUAGAACUCUAGUUCUUCUGUGUUUACUGCAUGAAAUUUGUGGAGAUGCUCCUAUAAGUCGGAAAACUAUGUCCGCAACUUGUCGGACCGUAUAGGUGGAUCUAGGUGUGAGUCCCAUAGCUAAAUCCCAAAAUUCAUUAAAACAAAUAAGAGACAAUAAAGUAUAUUAAACACAAAUCUGAAUGUGAAGAAAAAAUAAAAACAAUUUAUUCGAUAUACCCGGAUCUAAAUUUGUCCUAAGUUGUAUGGCCGAUUGGAAGUAUGCCAGAGGAUAUGGUGCAAAGUCGGAACAUGUGCCAUGUUUUGUCCAUUCGUUGUGCAAAAAGCUAAUGUCUAACUUUCCCAAUAUCAAGUUUGGCCAUAGUCGGGGCAAGUCUACCCAAAGAACUGGAUCACUUUUCAGCAAACUCUUUGAAAUUAAAAACAAAAAUCUGGUUAGAUGACAGAUAAUUUACUUAAUAGUUUUAGGCGAAGAAUGUACGUAUGCGUACUUCGAGUUUCUUCUUAUCUAGAUUAGGAUUCGGAUUGUUGCAAAGAUUACUUGGACCAUACUGGGUCACCGGCUUGUCAUUAGCAUCUUGUGCCCAAAUUCCAUGUAUUGUAAAUUCUGUUGGGAUAGGGGUUUUACAUCUCGAAGUAGAGCUGCAAACUGAUGGAGGCCAUUGAAGUGCCAGCUUGUAGAAGUGCGGAAUUGCUGGUUGCUGAGGUACUGCAAAUGCUACCCAUAAUGAAAAAUUGAUACAAUGCAUUUUUACAAAUUUACAAAUAAAAAGAGAACUACUCCAUAUAUAAAUAUUACAUGCAUGGAUGAUUGGGCUGAGAUUGGAUGAUUGUGCUUUGCGAGUAGCUGGUUUAUGAUCUCCUUUAUAAUCUUGGCGCACAUAUUUCACAAAAUUUUCAAAGUCCUGCAACCAUGAAAUAAAUAUUGAGGUUACUUAUCACAAAGUGUUACUUCACAAUCACACCAAGAGAGAAAUAAACAAACUCACUUGUCUGAGUGGCUGAUUAUUCACCACCACCCAUGGCACAUCUUCUUGAGGUGGCUUCAGAUGUGCAGUCUCGUUAGCAUAUUGCAGCAGAAGCUGCAUUUCAUUAAUUUGGAAAAUCAAUGUUAGAAAAAGCUAAGAAGUGUUAAUUAAAUACUAAGACAUGCAGCCAACCUUAUAUCCAAAUCCAGUAGUAUAGCAUUUGUUGAUUAUCUCCUCAUUCAAUCUCAGCUUUUCACUGCAAUUUUUCCACAGUGCUUCAACGGGCCCCCCCUUUAAGCUUUGUUGCUCUGUGCAGCGAAUGAAUUCCAAGUGCUCUUUCUGCACCACAGUAGAGUAAUUAAACACGAGUUGGAGAUGAGUACAAAUACUUAUGGCUCAUAGCAGUUACUGCAUCAGGCCAUAAAUGGAUGACACAACUAUGUAUAGUGUUUAAGUGACGUUCUUCUUCUCCAUGUUGCACAUUAUCGCAAAAACUAUAAUUAGUUAUAACACCAAAAAGAACUAGAACUUCAUUAGUUAAUAAUGAUAAUACAUUAAAAUGAAGAACGGAGUAGUAAACCUGGCAAUGGAUUUCAGCAUUGCCCCAAGGGACCAAUCUUAGAUUGGUAAUGGUAUGGAGGUCAGUGCGGAAGACCUUGACUAGGCUAUUGGAGAUAAGCGAGAAUAUUGCAAGAGCAGCCAGAAUAUAGAAGAUUAAUGGUUGAAGAUAAGCCAUUGUUUCAGUGGUAGCUUUUGCACAAUGCUAGACCUCCAUUGUGCAAGGCUUCUUAUAGUUGAGAAUUGGGAUGCUGAGUAUUGCUUUCUGUCACGUUCAGAAACCAUGAGACAAAUUUACAAAGUUAUCAUCUUUAAAAAAACAAUUAUACACCACUUUAAAAAAAAAUUAUUUACAUGAAAGCUUGUUUAUCUAUUUAUGUAUGAAUAUUGUCUAAACAUGAAAGGAGAAAUCUUAUUAGAUAAUAGAGUUUUAUAAUAACUUAUAAUUUAAAUUAAGUUAUUAACGUAUUUACUGAAUCAUUGGCCUUCUAAAAUGCUUUUAGAUAUCAAAUCCUCUUCGACUUGCAAUUUUUUUCUGCAGAAAACAAUAUCAACAUCUAAGCAAUCUUAUAGAUAUCUAAGCAACAAAAACCAAACAUAAACUGAACAAUUCUCCAAAUACAGAAACCAGGAAAUAGUUAACAUCUCAAACAUAUAACCCAAACAAUUAUAGCAAUAUUAAGAAGCUCACAACAAAAAAUUCCUAUUACAUCUUACACAUAUAUGUUCCAGCUCCACAUCCCUCUUCAUAUUCAGUAUCCAUUUCAUGCCUUCUUCAUAUUUAGUAUUCAUUUGAUGCAUCUCUCGCUGGUUGACGUAUUACAUGUUUCUCAAUAUUCUCUUGUAUUCCAUUGAUACGAACCAGGCUCUCUAAAUAAGCAUGAAGGGAGAUGGUGAACCGAAAAUGAUCUAGGUAAGUAUUAAUCUCAAGCUCCUUAAGCUCUUGGGUGGAGGCGUCAAAUAGGAGUACUUCAUCAUUUGUGUCUGUAAGAAACAAGUCACCAUUUUUUCCAAAUCCCAAUGGGUGUACAACUCCAGAAAUGGAUUGUUUAGUCCACACUCCUUCACUUGUAACCCAUAAAUCAAAAGACGUGUCAAUUCUUUCCGUUGGGUAAACAAUAGCACCAAGUGAUCCAUUAAACACCAACAGAUUAACAUAGUAUUCUGGGAAAGACCCAACGAAUUCUGGGAUAGGUAAAAUUGAGAACUUCUCAUUCCCCAUGUCAAAUGAAAGAAUUAGUCCUCUAAAAUCAAGAUAUGCCCGUCUCUGUUUUCAUAUAGCAAAUUCCGUCUACAUAAUUAUUUCCCAAAGUUGUUCCAGUUGGUUUAUAAUCAGGACAUGGAAUUUCCUUCCAGGAAUUACUUCUAAGAGAAUACAACUCAACUUGGUACAUAAAAUGAGAAUGUGGAUAUUGUUCUUCACUAUUAACAAAAGUAAGAGUAACAAAUCGUAUGACUUUGUAGUCAUCAGUUUUAGAAUCAAACCCAAAAGAAGCGUGGUUAAAUUCAACGUGAUCUAAAGUAAGGUAGGUUUCUUCGAAUGGGGAAAAAUAUGGAGGGCGUUGGAUUGAAGAUGGUGGAAGGAUUUUAAACUCUCUGGUUGAUGGGUUCCAAAUGGCAGCCUUAUCCUUUGAAGGAUCAAGUAAACACAACAAUCCAUGACAAGCACCAUAAACAGAGGGGCGAUCAUUCUUAAAAAAGGGCAAGUGAAUGUUUUGUUUUACUAUAUAAUUUUGAUAUUUUUCAUUUGAAAGUUGAGAGAAAUAACGUUGGAAGGUGUUACCAUCACAGCGACUAAGCAGUAGAUUAAGGUUGUUGUUUUCAAGGUUGUUGUGAUAAUUAUUGGAAAUGAAAUGAGGAGUUUGAAAAGAAGAACACCAAUACUUACAAACACAGUUGAAGCGAGUAAGGGAUUUAACUGGAAGCUUUGACAGAAUUCCCAUAACCAAAGCUUCUGGCAAUUCAAAUCUUGGCCUCUGCAUCUUGCUAUUUUGAUUUUCUUUGUAAUUGGGUAAGAGGAAUGAAUAAGCAAGCAAAAUGGGAGUUGGUAUGGUCCAAACCUUAACCAGGAAGCAAAGAAGCAUAAAAGGUAAGCAUUUGAUAGGUUAUAAAAAUUAUAUGGAAUUUAGGAAAAUUUACUUAUUUGCAUUUGUAUCCAUGUGAGGAAGGAUUAAGAUCAAAUAUAAUAUAAUACAUACUUUUUGAAUUUAAUCCCCAAUUUUUAAAAGAUUAAAUUUAAAGGAUAUCAC